CAAUAGCGUAUAUUAAAGUUGUUGCAGUUAAAAAGCUCGUAGUUGGAUUUCUGGUGGGAGCGAUCGGUCUGGCGCUUAGCGCGAGUACUUGCAUCGUCUCCGGCCAUCCUUGGGGAAAGUCUGUCUGGCAUUAAGUUGUCGGGCAGAGGAUCCUCAUCGUUUACUGUGAAAAAAUUAGAGUGUUCAAAGCAGGCUUAUGCCGUUGAAUAUAUUAGCAUGGAAUAAUAAGAUAGGACUUUGGUACUAUUUUGUUGGUUUGCGCACCAAAGUAAUGAUUAAUAGGGACAGUUGGGGGUAUUCGUGUUCCGUUGUCAGAGGUGAAAUUCUUGGAUUUACGGAAGACGAACUACUGCGAAAGCAUUUACCAAGGAUGUUUUCAUUAA
Molecule: ribosomal RNA, 383 nt
Filed under: uncultured eukaryote
Lineage: Eukaryota
Description: partial 18S ribosomal RNA
Rfam family: Eukaryotic small subunit ribosomal RNA
Source: RNAcentral